UUGAAACACGGACCAAGGAGUCUAGCGUGUGCGCGAGUCAUUGGGUGAAAAACCUAAAGGCGCAAUGAAAGUGUCAAAGCUCGCUCUGCGACGCUUUUUGGGAGGAUGGGCGUCGUAAACCGUCGCCCCGCACUCCCGGGGCGUCUCAUUCUCGUUUCGAGUCGAGACGCACCAGGAGCGUACACGCUGGUACCCGAAAGAUGGUGAACUAUGCCUGGCCAGGACGAAGCCAGGGGAAACCCUGGUGGAGGUCCGAAGCGAUUCUGACGUGCAAAUCGAUCGUCUGAGCUGGGUAUAGGGGCGAAAGACCAAUCGAACCAUCUAGUAGCUGGUUCCCUCUGAAGUUUCCCUCAGGAUAGCUGGCUCUCGUGUGAGACGAGUCUCAUCCGGUAGAGCGAAUGAUUAGAGGUGAUGGGGUCGAAACGACUUCAACCUAUUCUCAAACUCCCAAUAGAUGAGAGCCCCGGCUUGCUUGAAUGUGAAGCCGCGGGACUCGGAUCAGAGGGCCAAGUGGGCCAAUUUUGGUAAGCAG
Molecule: ribosomal RNA, 532 nt
Filed under: Melamphaus faber
Lineage: Eukaryota; Metazoa; Arthropoda; Insecta; Hemiptera; Pyrrhocoridae
Description: eukaryotic LSU rRNA
Rfam family: Eukaryotic large subunit ribosomal RNA
Source: RNAcentral